This 441-nucleotide ribosomal RNA is filed under the name uncultured bacterium. Its description in RNAcentral is "partial 16S ribosomal RNA". It matches the Rfam family "Bacterial small subunit ribosomal RNA", at positions 338 to 795 of the family's 1533-position model. The record is from RNAcentral.
CCUACGGGAGACAGCAGUGGGGAAUAUUGCACAAUGGGGGAACCCCUGAUGCAGCAACGCCGCGUGAAGGAAUACGGUUUUCGGAUUGUAAACUUCUGUUCUUAGUGAAGAAGAAUGACGGUAGCUAAGGAGCAAGCCACGGCUAACUACGUGCCAGCAGCCGCGGUAAUACGUAGGUGGCAAGCGUUGUCCGGAAUUACUGGGUGUAAAGGGAGCGCAGGCGGGAAGCCAAGUCAGCUGUGAAAACUACGGGCUUAACUUGUAGACUGCAGUUGAAACUGGUUUUCUUGAGUGAAGUAGAGGUUGGAGGAAUGUCGAGUGUAGCGGUGAAAUGCGUAGAUAUUCGGAGGAACACCGGUGGCGAAGGCGGCCAACUGGGCUUUAACUGACGCUGAAGCACGAAAGCGUGGGUAUCGAACAGGAUUAAAUACCCGGGUAGUC